GACGAACGCUGGCGGCGUGCUUAACACAUGCAAGUCGAACGGAAAGGCCCUGCUCUUGUGGGGUGCUCGAGUGGCGAACGCGUGAGUAAAACGUGAGUAACCUGUCCUUGACUUUGGGAUAACUCUAGGAAACAGGGGCUAAUAUCGGAUAGGAGCUCCUGCUGCAUGGUGGGGGAUGGAAAGUUUCGGUGGUUGGGGAAGGUAUAGCAGGUUACCAGCUUGUUGGUGGGGUUGUGGCUUACCACGGUUUUGACGGGUAGGCGGCCUGAGAGGGUGGACGGCCACAUUGGGACUGAGGGACGCACCAGACUCCAACGGGCGGCAACAGUGGGAAAUAUUGCGCAGUAGGCGGAAGCCUGAGACAGCGGCGCCGCGUGCGGAAUAACGGCCUUCGAGUUAUAAACCACUUUCUCCUGUGACGAGGCGUGAGUGACGGUAAUGGAUAAAAAAGCACCGGCUAACUACGUG
Molecule: ribosomal RNA, 468 nt
Filed under: uncultured bacterium
Lineage: Bacteria
Description: partial 16S ribosomal RNA
Rfam family: Bacterial small subunit ribosomal RNA
Source: RNAcentral